This 89-nucleotide non-coding RNA is filed under the name Pseudomonas sp. URMO17WK12:I10. The record is from RNAcentral. Lineage: Bacteria; Pseudomonadati; Pseudomonadota; Gammaproteobacteria; Pseudomonadales; Pseudomonadaceae. RNAcentral also lists the same sequence under 4 other names.
UGCAAUGGUGGCCGUGCGCGGGCAGGCUUUGGUCUGGCCGGGGUUCCUUAUUCACUCGGUUUCUCACCCUGCGUACGGCUGCCACCCUA